This 336-nucleotide unclassified non-coding RNA is filed under the name soil metagenome. Its description in RNAcentral is "partial contains 5.8S ribosomal RNA, internal transcribed spacer 2, and large subunit ribosomal RNA". The stretch from base 1 to 120 matches the Rfam family "5.8S ribosomal RNA", at positions 35 to 154 of the family's 154-position model. The record is from RNAcentral.
GAUGAAGAACGUAGCGAAAUGCGAUAAGUAAUGUGAAUUGCAGAAUUCAGUGAAUCAUCGAAUCUUUGAACGCACAUUGCGCCCCUUGGUAUUCCGGGGGGCAUGCCUGUUCGAGCGUCAUUUCAACCCUCAAGCUCUGCUUGGUAUUGGGCUCCGUCCUCCUCGGACGCGCCUCAAAGACCUCGGCGGUGGCGUCUUGCCUCAAGCGUAGUAGAAACACCUCGCUUUGGAGUGCAUGGCGUCGCCCGCCGGACGAAACCUUUUGUAUUUUCUCAAGGUUGAACUCGGAUCAGGUAGGGAUACCCGCUGAACUUAAGCAUAUCAAUAAGCGGAGGA